This 442-nucleotide ribosomal RNA is filed under the name uncultured bacterium. Its description in RNAcentral is "partial 16S ribosomal RNA". It matches the Rfam family "Bacterial small subunit ribosomal RNA", at positions 337 to 795 of the family's 1533-position model. The record is from RNAcentral.
CCUAACGGGGGGCAGCAGUGGGGAAUAUUGCACAAUGGGGGAAACCCUGAUGCAGCAACGCCGCGUGAGUGAAGAAGGUUUUCGGAUUGUAAAGCUCUGUUAGCAGGGAAGAGGAAGGACGGUACCUGCAGAGGAAGCCACGGCUAACUACGUGCCAGCAGCCGCGGUAAUACGUAGGUGGCAAGCGUUGUUCGGAAUAACUGGGCGUAAAGGAUGCGUAGGCGGUUAAACAAGUUAUAUGUUAAAUAUAUAGGCUUAACCUGUAGAAAGCAUAUAAAACUGUUUAACUAGAGUGCAGGAGAGGUAAGUGGAAGUCCUAGUGUAGCGGUAAAAUGCGUAAAUAUAUGUAAGAACACCAGUGGCGAAGGCGGCUUGCUGGGUCGAUACUGACAUUGAGGCACGAAAGCGUGGGGAGCAAACAGGAUUAGAUACCCUGGUAGUC